UUGGGGUUGUCUUUUUUAUUAUUGAUAUGUAGAAGUUAAAAAUGUAUAUGUAUGUAUAUAUAUAUAUAUAUAUAUAUAUAUAUAUACAUAUACAUUUUUAACUUCUACAUAUCAAUAAUAAAAAAGACAACCCCAA
Molecule: microRNA precursor, 136 nt
Filed under: Marmota monax (woodchuck)
Lineage: Eukaryota; Metazoa; Chordata; Mammalia; Rodentia; Sciuridae
Source: RNAcentral